This 253-nucleotide ribosomal RNA is filed under the name uncultured bacterium. Its description in RNAcentral is "partial 16S ribosomal RNA". It matches the Rfam family "Bacterial small subunit ribosomal RNA", at positions 524 to 776 of the family's 1533-position model. The record is from RNAcentral.
AACGUAGGAGGCAAGCGUUAUCCGGAUUUACUGGGCGUAAAGCGCGUGUAGGUGGAUCGGUAAGUUACUUAUAAAAGCUCCUGGCUAAACUAGGAGAGGUUGAGUGAUACUGCCAGUCUUGAAUAGAGGAGAGGUUGACGGAAUUCCGCGUGUAGUGGUGAAAUGCGUAGAGAUGCGGAAGAACACCAGUGGCGAAGGCGGUCAACUGGCCUCAUAUUGACACUCAGACGCGAAGGCAUGGGUAGCGAACGGG